Non-coding RNA from Nelumbo nucifera (sacred lotus), 107 nucleotides. The record is from Rfam. Lineage: Eukaryota; Viridiplantae; Streptophyta; Magnoliopsida; Proteales; Nelumbonaceae.
AUUUGAUGAUGGGGGCAUCUUGCACAAAAUUUUUUAAAAUGUUCCCAGUAUUCAUGUCGGGACUCCCCGUUGUACUGUCUUACACUACAAAUUUCUUUUCUAAUGUU